RNAcentral lists this ribosomal RNA (146 nucleotides) under Fusarium oxysporum. RNAcentral describes it as "5.8S ribosomal RNA". It matches the Rfam family "5.8S ribosomal RNA". From Rfam's summary of the family: 5.8S ribosomal RNA (5.8S rRNA) is a component of the large subunit of the eukaryotic ribosome. It is transcribed by RNA polymerase I as part of the 45S precursor that also contains 18S and 28S rRNA. Functionally, it is thought that 5.8S rRNA may be involved in ribosome translocation. Lineage: Eukaryota; Fungi; Ascomycota; Sordariomycetes; Hypocreales; Nectriaceae. The record is from RNAcentral.
AAACUUUCAACAACGGAUCUCUUGGUUCUGGCAUCGAUGAAGAACGCAGCAAAAUGCGAUAAGUAAUGUGAAUUGCAGAAUUCAGUGAAUCAUCGAAUCUUUGAACGCACAUUGCGCCCGCCAGUAUUCUGGCGGGCAUGCCUGUU